AGUGAACGCUGGCGGUAGGCCUAACACAUGCAAGUCGAACGGCAGCACAGUAAGAGCUUGCUCUUACGGGUGGCGAGUGGCGGACGGGUGAGGAAUACAUCGGAAUCUACUUUUUCGUGGGGGAUAACGUAGGGAAACUUACGCUAAUACCGCAUACGACCUACGGGUGAAAGCAGGGGAUCUUCGGACCUUGCGCGAUUGAAUGAGCCGAUGUCGGAUUAGCUAGUUGGCGGGGUAAAGGCCCACCAAGGCGACGAUCCGUAGCUGGUCUGAGAGGAUGAUCAGCCACACUGGAACUGAGACACGGUCCAGACUACUACGGGAGGCAGCAGUGGGGAAUAGUGGACAAAGGGCGCAAGCCUGAUCCAGCCAGACCGCGUGGGUGAAGAAGGCCUUCGGGUUGUAAAGCCCUUUUGUUGGGAAAGAAAAGCAGCAGGUUAAUACCCCGCUGUUCUGACGGUACCCAAAGAAUAAGCACCGGCUAACUUCGUG
RNAcentral lists this ribosomal RNA (492 nucleotides) under uncultured bacterium. Its description in RNAcentral is "partial 16S ribosomal RNA". It matches the Rfam family "Bacterial small subunit ribosomal RNA", at positions 29 to 507 of the family's 1533-position model. The record is from RNAcentral.